Molecule: long non-coding RNA, 2669 nt
Organism: Oreochromis niloticus (Nile tilapia)
Lineage: Eukaryota; Metazoa; Chordata; Actinopteri; Cichliformes; Cichlidae
Source: Ensembl
CUGGCUUUUUAAAAACCUGCAGUGGCCUAGUGGAGUUCUCUACGGAAGAGGAUUAGGGCCACUGGAAAGAAAAAAAAAGAAUUCUGACUUUAAUCUCAGAAUUCUGACUUUUUUUCUCAGAAUUCUGACUUUAAUCUCAGAAUUCUGACUUUUUUCUCAGAAUUCUGACUUUUUUCUCAGAAUUCUGACUUUAAUCUCAGAAUUCUGACUUUAUUCUCAGAAUUCUGAGAUUAAAGUCAGAAUUCUGACUUUAAUCUCAGAAUUCUGACUUUAUUCUCAGAAUUCUGAGAUUAAAGUCAGAAUUCUGACUUUAAUCUCAGAAUUCUGACUUUUUUCUCAGAAUUCUGACUUUAAUCUCAGAAUUUUGAGGUGGGCACCUGCAGGCAUCCAUCUUCAGUGACAGGGAUGUGUCCAGGUGUGCAGGUGGAGACCUAAUUCACCAAACAUGGUGGAUAUAAGUGAUUUUUUGCGUGGCCGAGGGGUCCCCGAAGAUGCUGUUUUAUUAAUGGAAGAGCAGAAGAUUGACUGUGACGUCAUAGCACUGAUGGAUGACGCAACUUUGGCAAACUACAUUCCCUCGUACGGAGACCGAAUUGCCCUCUUCAAUUUCUGCAAAAGCAAGCAACCACUGUCAAAAAGAAAACUAGGACUUCUGCAAAAACUUCGUGAGAAAAUGAAAACCAGAAAAGAAAGUCCAAAGGAGAACACCUCACAUACAGAUGCAGGAAUAAGACAGACAAAGAAGCAAAAAGCAACACGAAAUGUUGAGAUAGGAUGGAUACAUAGUGAUGGAAAAGUAGCCAAACAGGUGAGAGCGAAGCAGGGAGGUGGCACUAGAAAAAUUCAAAUGGCCACUGAUGCUGGAUUAAAAGAUAUUCUUCAAGAAGGAAAGAAACUUUUUUUUCCUGAUGGCAUAUCUCCUAAGGGAUGUGAAACAGAUUUUGAGUUUGAGGUUUGGGACUUUAAACAGAACCACCUUACUGAUGAUACCUGCCAGUCUAUUGGCAAUAUGUAUGAGGCAGCGAGACUGACAAUGUUACGCUUCUACAUCGCAACAAAACCAAAAGAUCCUGAAGAAGAUGCCAGCGAGACAUCUGAAGUGGUGUUUGUCUCAGAAAGCAGUGGCAGUGAUAGUAAUCCAUUGCAAGUGGGGGAAGUCAGGGGUAAUUUUGAUGAAGUCAUCACUGGUUCAGAAAUUUCAGAUGAUCCAGAAAUAACUUUUGGGCCAAUUUUUGAUGCUGAAGAAGAUACAGAAGACACAUUAGUCUAUGAGGGUUUUCUUGUACCCCUCAGUCCACCUAAUUCAGAGAACGUAAUAACAAUCACCAUACGUCAUACUGACACUUUACGUGACAUGAUUACUGCUUUCUCUGAUGCAGAGAUUUUGAGAAAAACACUGAAUGUGAAGCGCAUACUUCCAGACAACACAGAAGAACCAGGCACUGGAUCAGGAAUACUAAGAGAUGUACUCACAUGCUUCUGGCAUGAAUUUAUGAGCGAUGCACCCUAGGUGCAACGGUUAAAGUGCCAUUCAUUCGCCAUGAUUUUCCUGCUGAAAAAUGGAAGGCAGUUGGGCGAAUACUCUUGAAAGGUUAUGAAGAAUGUCAGUAUUUCCAAAUAAACUUGCAAUCCCUUUUCUGGAGCAAGUGCUUUUCAAUGGUGUUUACAGUGAUCUUAAAGCACACUUUCUACAGUUUGUCAGCAGCCAAGAAUGUGAUGUUUUGAUGGAAGCAGUAAAAAAUUUCUCUGCAGUUGACUUGGAUGAUCUUGUGGAAGUUCUUGACAGCUAUGGCUGUAGAAAAAGAAUCACUGCUGAGACUCUUCCUACAAUCCUUGAUGAAAUAGCACACAAAGAACUUGUCCAAAAACCAAUGUUUGUUAUUGACUGCUGGAGGAGAUCAUCAACCCCCAUAUCUCCCUCAGUCCGGAGGCACUGACCAAGUUAUUCUCUGAACUGCAACCAACUUCAAAAAAAGUGUGCCAGCUCCUGAAAUUUGCUGUGGAUUUGACUCCACAACAAAAGAAGUGAAAAAUCAUCUCAAAAGAUUCAUCAGAGAGUUGGAUAACAUUAAACUUCAGAAAUUUAUGCGUUUCUGCACCGGAUCUGACCUUAUAGUAACAACAGUAUUUAUGUGGAAUUUCAAGAUAUGACAGAGUUUACAAGAAGACCAGUCGGACACACGUGUGGGAAUGUUCUGCAGCUAGCUAACAGCUAUGAAAACUUCCCAGAUUUCCGUUCUGAAUUUAAUGCAGUUCUUGAAAGUAAUGUCUGGUGAUGGACAUUGUUUAGACUCUCACAGCAAUGCGCUACAUUUGAACUGCUCAUUCACACUAGAGCAUAACUGUAAAGAGAUGUAGGAAUAUGUAUUUUAUGUAUUUUGAACUUAUACAGUAUACUUUUUUAAUUAGAGAGAAGUUUCCCAUCUCUGUUAGAAGUCCAGUUUUGGCUAAUAUUUCAGUUUCUUUUAUCAUUUGAGUUUACAUGAUACAGUCACAAAACAAAACAAACAGGUACACUGUUUACUACCAUAUCCAGAGCUGUCUUCACCAAAUCCAAGCUUUACAGCUGUAAUACAGAAACCUUCAGCAAAAGCAUGAAGAAAGAAUACUAAAGAUCUAUAAACUAUAAUUAAACUGCUCUUAAACUUUCUUUAAUGCACCAUGUGUGG